This 981-nucleotide long non-coding RNA is filed under the name Nicotiana benthamiana. RNAcentral's name for it is "long non-coding RNA (NBEN_LNC007351)". Lineage: Eukaryota; Viridiplantae; Streptophyta; Magnoliopsida; Solanales; Solanaceae. The record is from RNAcentral.
UUCCCAAAAACAAGAUUAAAUUAAAAAUAUCUUUAACACAUAUUAUUGAAUUGUUACAUUAUCCUCCACAAACACAUUGAUUAAAAAAGCAUCUACGCUGCAAAUUACACAUUGGUAUUCUUUCUUCGCAAUCUUUAUCAUUAUUACAGACCAACAGAAAAUCACAAAUACACACAUUGCUUAUACACUUUGGUAGAAAUUUCACCUUGCAAAUAGUCAAGCAAUCGUUAUCAUUGUCGCAAUGUGUUGUAACUACAUUUCUUGCUUCAAUCCCAAAUGACGAACCUAUUCAAAAUGAUAUUUCAAUAAUAUCAAAACAUAAAUAAUAUGAGCAAAUACAUACAUAUAUGUUGUAUUGUGUGCGUGUGUGCAAAAUUAAUAUAUAAAUGUAUGUGAUAAAGGAGGGAAAUCUUAAUGUGACAACUUGUGUAAGUAUCAAGAUCAUUGAGAUUUGACAAAAAAAUAUAGGAAAUUUACUCCCUUUUUAUUGUGAAGAUAUCCUAGACAGUGCGAUGACUUUCAUGAAUUGAAUGCACAUAAAUUCUUGAGAGAAAUAUUGACAAAAGAGAUGAAGAAAUAAAAUAAACAUAAUUACCACUAUAAAAGAGAAUAGAUCAAUUUCUUAUUUUUUUUUGAAAAAUUGAAACCAUCUUCGUAUUAAUAGAUAUUGAUUAUUUUCCUCACUACCACUCUUUCAACAAAUAUUUUCUGUUUAAUGAGUUUAUAGGAAAAAGAACUUUAAUUAAUUAAUUAAAAAGAAAACUUUGCGUGAUAUAUUUAUUGAUUUGAUAUAAAUAUUAUUUAAACAAAUAAUUUUUCCUCCAAUCACGGCUUUACAUUUUCAGAAAAUUGGAUUGAAAGGUAGAUACAGAGUGAUAAAGAGAAAACAAAAAUGAAAGUAGACUUACAAAUCCCUAUUGCCCACAAAGUGAAGAGGAAAAUCAAAACUUUCGAAGCCAUCUUUGUAUGAUAGGAGAAAUG